AACAUGCAGAACCUAGGACUAUCAACCUAACAGGAUGAUACCUUCUUUUUCUUUUUCUUUUUUUCCCUGACAAGAACAGGAUCAUACUUGAAAUGACUAUAAGAUACAGAGAGACAGACUGAGUUAGAUAACAUUACACUUUUAAAGGGGGAAUACAUCUAGCUUAUUAAAAAACAAAUGCAAUCAUCAAUUUGAAGUGCAGCAUGAGAGCAUUAUUCAAUUUCAGAUGGCUGAGAAGGUGCAAUAUCAGGCUUUCAAGGAUUCUCCAGCUUUCACCAAAUCUUCAAGUGCCUUGGAGAUCUGUGCCUCCGACAAGCCUUCCAGUUUGAUUCCUUUCUCAACACCAAAAUCUAAUAUAAAGCAACAAAUUACAAAAGAAACGAGGGCUCAACUACGCAGAUAAUUAUUUCAAAAUAAAAAAAAAUUAAAAAAGAUCAUAUUAGAAGAAAGUAUCAAAGGCUCACUAAUGAUAGAUAUCAUGACAGUAAAUAUGCAGUGUAAUUAACGUGAAAUAUGUGGAUUUAUUUCUUAUACACAUUUUAUGUCAGUGAAAUCCUUAAGCACUCUUCAAGGUCCUCCAAAAUCUGUAAAUAAUGGUAGGAAUUUGUUAUCUUUAUCCCGUUUCUGAGUUAUUAUUAUUAUUAUUAUUAUUAUUAUUAUUAUUAUUAUUCACACAAGGUAUUAAGAUGUCUUUGUAUUGAAUUGUCAGACUCUUCAUUAGUUCUUAUUUGUGGUGCACAAUUUGGUGGAAUGCGAGGAGACAAUGUAUGGUAAUUAUAUCAACUAGGAUGUUAUUGUCAAGAUCCCCUUUUAGUACAACAACAACAACAACAACAACAACAACAACAACAACAACAACAACAACAACAACAACAACAACAACAACAACAACAACAACAACAACAACAACAACAACAACAACAACAACAAAGUCUUAUCCACUAGGUGGGGUCAAUUAGAUGGAUCAAAUGAUGUCAUUGUGCCUUAUAUCACAGUUAUAGUGAGACUUUUUACACAUCAAUCUCCUUUAACCACCUUGUGUAUGGUCUUCUUUUAGUACGAUUAAACAUUUUCAAGAAUUUAGUAUGCAAUAGCAAGAAAGAAGAAGAAAUAAUGAGAGGUGAGAAUAAAAGGCAGUAAGCAACUAAAGAAAGAUGGAGUAGUUAAUGGGAAAGUGGGAACAUUAGUAGGGAAAACAUGGAACAUGAGUGGCUAAGGCAGUGAAAGUAAACUGCAAAUGAGUAAUCUUAAAUUUUUUACCCCAGCAAAAAUUUGUUAAUCAAAUUGCUGAAAGGAUGCAAAGGGAAUCAAUAUUUGGAGGCCUUUCAAUGUUACUAAUUUUUUAAGAUUAUCAAUUUUAUUUUGGAACAAGUAUCUACGAGCCACUAGAAUGUGUUCCAACAUCACAGAGCGCUAGAGGUUGAAGAUCAACAAGGCAAAUACUAAAGAAAGAGAAAAGAAAUCAUAACCUGCAUAAGAUUCUUGACUCCUACCAAAUAUAAACCUUGUUCACUUAAGGCUUUUCCAAGUGUAUAAAUAUAAAGACUAGAAAAGCAUCCCAUCAAAAGGGGUACAUUCAAACAAUAAGACUAAAGACAAAACACUAAGAACUUGUACUAGAAAACCCAAGACCGGAGGUUUUCGUUCUUCACAUACAACAACGGUUUUUACACUAAUCUCCAUUUUCCCUUAAAGAGACUCUACUACUUGAACCUAUCUUCUUAAUACAUCGUGGUCAAAUAACAACACGUUUUUCAGUGUCUCUCUCACUCUCUCUUAAACUCUUACUUCUUUCUUUAACUAAAUUAAUACUAGACAUCCAAAGAAAAUGUGACUUUACCUGUUUAUAAAUAUUAUUCAACGAAAUCAAAGAUAUUAUAAAUGUACAUAUAAUUUAAAAUUAUUAAAAUAAUAUAUAAAUGAAUUUUGCCAAAUUGGUGCCAAGUUGGGGCCAACUUGAUAACUUGGUAAUUUGGCCAGUGAACUGGCCAAGUUACUGGCCAAGCUAAGAGCGUUGGAACCACGAUCCAUUUGUUAUUGAUAGAACUUGUUGUAUUUGUUAGUGGUUAGUUUAUUUUUAUGUGAUAUGGGAUUAAAUUACGAUGAUUAAUUUCAAUUCUAAUUAAAUGAGAAAAUUGGGAUAAUUAAGUGUAAUAAGUGUGUAAUAAGUUUUUAUAACAAGCAAUGGAUAUGAAAAGACAAACAAAAAUCCCUGUCCUGUAACUUUAUCUUUAAGCCUAUAUAUUUAAACACAAAUUCCGAGUUUUCACUUAUAAGAAAUAAUAAAAAUUAAAAUUUUUUAUGUUACGUAGUUAUUGUUUAAGACUAAUAGUAUAAAGUUAUUUAUUGUAUAAUGUGGUAAAUUUAGCUCUGUCAUAAACAAACAUCUUUUCAGUUUUAUGAGUUAUUUUUAUGUUUAUAUUAGUUAAAGCAAAAUCUUUUUAGUGUAUUUUUACGACAAAUAAAAUAAAAUAUGAUUAUAAAAUAAGAUACGAAAAUAAAUAAUUUAAACGUUUCAAUAUUAUGGUUUAUAUUUACAGUACCUUUACUGUUCAGAUGGGAGGACAAUCGAAACCAAGAAGUGGGUUUUCACUUGGCUUGUGAACUUGUCAUAGGUAGUGAAGCACCGAAGAAUGCGUUGUUGCGGUAAGUUUGAAACACUAAUGUAAGUCCAUUUGAUUAAUGUGUAAUUGACAAGUUUUAAAACCAAACUAAAAGAAUAACAUAUGUAUGUACAGAUUAGAUUUUGGGAGGAAGAACUAUGACUAUAGUUCAGUGUUCCAUCUGUAAAAGCCUUGGAUCUCCUAAACUAUGUCCCAAAACGUUAUACUAUUCUUAAUUACAGUAAAAGUAUGACUAAAAGUUUCUAAAGAAUCGAUAUUAAAGAAAUAGACAUUAAAAAAAACAGAUAUUAAAAAAGAGUAAUAUCAAACACCUCUACGACGAAGUAAAAUAAAAAAGAAGGGACCUAGUCAUGUAAGGUUAAAAAGCGACAUUAACAAGAAGUUUUUAAUCAUAACACAUCUUCAUAGGUUAAAAUGGAACCUAGACAACAACAUUCAGAAGGGUUCAUAAAUACAUAAAAAAUACUUUAAAAAUAGUACCAAGAAUAAAUACUAAAAUAACUUAAAGUUCCUAUAAGACGUUAGUCCCACAUCCAUAUCCCAACAUGAAAACAUUAUACUAACCUUAUACGUCAAAGAUAAAAGAAGAAAGUUCAAAAAAUUUAAGAUCAUUUAUUCACCGGUUUAAAACCCGUCAUCUUGAAGACGAUCUAGUAUAACGAGUCAUAACGAACAAAUAACCUUCUUUUGAGUUAUCAUCAACUCGACUUUUACUAUUAUUAGUACUUUAGAAUUGGGCUCAAAUCAAUCAACAACAGACCCACUUACGAACCCCCAAGUCUGUUAAAUUUUAAGAGAACGAAAACCUUGAAAACAAAAACUCUAGUCAGAAGUAUUAUAACCGUACAUCUGAAAAUAUAGAUACACGUUACUUUCUUGUAACGUUCAUACAAAGGUUGAAGGUUCAUCAUCUUAAAACACAUAUGAAAACCCCGGAAAAUUAACUAACAGUUAAUAAACAUCGAAUCGUAACGUUGAAACCCGUCAAGACGGACAUAAUCAAAUAGAAUGUAACACAAACAACCCAAAAUCAAAAUGGAGGGAAGAAAUAACGGAGCACUACUCCUUUUUAGACUUUAUUUAAUAAUUUAACUCGAUCCCUUCGUUACCGUACCUCUCCUGUAGAAAGUUUCUUGUAUUCCCUCGAAUCCAAAAACUACACGGUCAGCAGCGGACGUUCGAGUGGACGUUCCAAUAUAAAUAUAAGUGAAAAAAAAACCCCCUUUUAUAGUGGCGAAAUAAUAAAUGUAUAGAAUCACACUAAACUAAUGAAUGUAGAAUAUCUAUCCACUCAUAGUUAAUUACAACAAAAAAAGUAAUAGAAUCCUGUAAACACCUUUUCUUGAUAUUCCUUGAGUUCUGAAACUUGGGCUUUAACGGUUAUGACUAGGCACUUACGUCACCUCGCCUUGGGGUUGAUACCCGUUCUAUACCAUAGUGGUAGAUUCAGGGCAAGAAUAGACAAAUUAGACUUAAACAGUGGUAUAAUAAUUAUUUUUAAUUAAAACUGAAAAUCUUAUUAUACAUUGCAUCGUUCGUAUAGAUCCUACUUUACUUACUUUUGUUUACUUUGUCAUCUUAGGUGUGACUUGUCGGAUAAUGUUAAUCGUUACUAGAAGUAACAACGACUAAAGAAGGAAGGUAUAGUACCCUCUGUGUUAAAAAUUCUUAAACUAUCUAGUCUACCUAACCUAUCGUCGUCUUGUAAGGCCACUUACUUGACGGAGGUAAAUCAACCGUGAGUACACCAGUAAAGAGGAACGCAGGGUUAAAUGCAUAGAAUACUACGCACCGGAUGAACUAAUUGAUCGACAACCAAAUGAGUCGUGAGAUCGACUCAUUCGAGUAAGGACGUUUGACCAAGGGUUCAACGUUUCACGGGAGGAAGGAUAGUAAACCUGUAUUACAUAUUGAUGUAAACUCUCUCUUAUUAAAAUACCCCACUCAAAAUGUAGAAAAUUUUUGACUCUACGAGAUUAAAAACCGUUUGACAACUAUAUUUUGUUUUAUUUAAACGUAGAAGGAUCAACGUUUUAGAUAGGGACAAUACUUUAAUAUGUAAAAACGAGUUUCUUUUUAUGGUAUAUUUGUUAACGACUUUCUUUUAUGUUAUAACAAAAGAAAAGAAUUUAUAACUAGUUGUUGAUAUUUAGGAAUAGGUGAUACACCCACAGUUGACGUACCUAGUCUGUCACGUCAAUGUGGGACAGUACUUAGUAUAUGCCUUAGUCGAAUAAAAACGAGUCUAAAAAAGGCUAGUGGAAUAAGUAUCAGAGAAAUCCAGAAAGAGACAGGGAUUGAUUCCAUCGAUAGAGAGUAGAACAGAUANNNNNNNNNNNNNNNNNNNNNNNNNCUUCCAAGCAUCUCCGUGUGACAGGUGGGUUAUAAAACCAUCAUCUCUCUUGUUUUUACUAUGCCAAGUCAUGUGAGGGAUGAAAUUCAUUGAUGCAUACAAUCAUUUUAGCCUAGGGAUUAGGGAUAAGUACUGUAUCCAUUUGUUUGGAAUUCUCUUUUCCCGCCGUUUACCAAUCCAUUCUCUUUCGACCUAAAAUCUUGGUGCAUCACAAAAUCUACAAGCAGUUAGGUCGUUGUCCGCCUUGUCCUCAUCUGGAUACGAAGAGAUUUCUAGGAGAUCCUUCCUUCCAUCAUGCUGAGUUAGGUAGCAUCCGACCUCUUUUUUUUCUGGUAGUUUUCUUCUAUUGUCUGUGAAUUUAUCUUUUUCCUUCUGUGUAAUUGUUAGGAUUACAAGAAUCUUAGGGAGUUGGUAAUUGUAAUUUCUCUGAAAUUAUAAAAAAAAUUCUAUCAUUGUUAUGGUGGAGACUGGAUAUAGACCACAUUAUAUUAAGUGGUUGAACUAGGAUAUAUAGUGAUGCAAGCUCUUCUUCUAUGCUCUAACUUUUAUAUCGUCGUUAUGAGAUAAAAAUAAUUGUCUUUUACAAAAUUAUUUUAAUAAAUACUGUAGUAACAAAUCCUCGAAUCUGUUUUAGUAUUUCUUUUAAAAGAUGUCAUAAAUUUAACUCCCUUCUUUAGGUUAUUAAAAAAUUUCAAUUCGUAUUAAGAGACAAAGUCUCAAGUAUCCAGUGUAACAACUUGGAUGAAAGAUCCAAAUGGCCAACAUGAAAUCAAAUGUGGUAACUUACACAUUUAUCGAAGAGCAAUCCAAUAAAAAACCUCCAUCUUUAAUAGCAAAAAUCGCACCUAUUAAAAGAAAAGAAUAAAGAUAUUUGUAUAGUUCGUGAAUUAUGACAAUUAGAAGAUAAUCAUGAAUGUUUCAGACAUUUCAAAGAAGACAAACAACAAAGGAGAUAUGGUUCAUAAAAAAGAGAAUAAGUGGGCUGAUAAAAAUAAGAAAAAAAGUGGAGCUCAAUGCAAAGACAAUCAACAUACUACUCUAUGCUAUUAAUUUUGAGAAAUUUCAAAAAGUUUCAAAAUGUGAAAAAAAAUAGUAUAUAAACUUUUAAAUCUAACUAAAUAUAUUUUUAUAAAUUAUAAAGUUCAAAUUUUAAAUUCAAAACCAUUUAUAUAAAAAAUAUAAUAAACAGAGAAUUAUUUUUUUUAAUUAAUAAAAAAUACAAUAUUUUUUAUUUAAUAAAAAAUAUUUAAGAAUAAUUUUUUUCAUAUUUUAAAAAAAAAAUAUUAGUUGAUUUUUUUUCCUUUAUCCCCCUCCCCACCUUUUUAUUUUUUGGAAGGAGUUUAGGGAAAUUAGUUAAUAAAAAUAACCAAGUCAAAAAGUCCCAACAGAGAAAAAUGAAAAAUUCAAGAAAACAAAAUAUAAAGCAGUUUACACGAACCAUUAAGAAAAUGACUUAAGGCAAUACUAAAAUUUUGCACAAAAAGUUGCGAAUAUUUAGAAUGUUUUUUCCAAAAAUAUAAAUUGGUCCAUGCCUUGUUACACCAGAUUAUUUGACUUGAUCAAUACCAAAAUUCUUUGGCAAUGUAGUCCAAAAUGAAUACAUGAAAAUUUAAAUCUGAGUUCUUAAUAAAUCUUCCAUCACAGGUGUGCUCAACAUGCAGAACCUAGGACUAUCAACCUAACAGGAUGAUACCUUCUUUUUCUUUUUCUUUUUUUCCCUGACAAGAACAGGAUCAUACUUGAAAUGACUAUAAGAUACAGAGAGACAGACUGAGUUAGAUAACAUUACACUUUUAAAGGGGGAAUACAUCUAGUUUAUUAAAAAACAAAUGCAAUCUUCAAUUAGAAGUGCAGCAUGAGAGCAUUAUUCAAUUUCAGAUGGCUGAGAAGGUGCAAUAUCAGGCUUUCAAGGACUUUCCAGCUUUCACCAAAUCUUCAAGUGCCUUGGAGAUCUGUGCCUCCGACAAGCCUUCCAGUUUGAUUCCUUUCUCAACACCAAAAUCU
RNAcentral lists this long non-coding RNA (6981 nucleotides) under Arachis ipaensis. Its description in RNAcentral is "long non-coding RNA (AIPA_LNC001967)". The record is from RNAcentral. Lineage: Eukaryota; Viridiplantae; Streptophyta; Magnoliopsida; Fabales; Fabaceae.